This 773-nucleotide ribosomal RNA is filed under the name uncultured Neocallimastigales. RNAcentral's name for it is "partial large subunit ribosomal RNA". It matches the Rfam family "Eukaryotic large subunit ribosomal RNA", at positions 26 to 628 of the family's 3401-position model. The record is from RNAcentral. Lineage: Eukaryota; Fungi; Neocallimastigomycota; Neocallimastigomycetes; Neocallimastigales.
CGUCUAUAUACGUAUAGCAUAUCAAUAAGCGGAGGAAAAGAAACUAACUAGGAUUCCCUCAGUAACGGCGAGUGAAGCGGGAAGAGCUCAAAUUUGAAAUCUUCAAGGUUCUACCUUGACGAAUUGUAGUUUAAAGAAGUGUUUUCUGUUGGAGUUUUGGUAAAAGUUCUUUGGAAUAGGACAUCAUAGAGGGUGAGAAUCCCGUAUUUGACCAUUAUUUCCAACUUUGUGAUACACUUUCAAAGAGUCGGAUUGUUUGGGAAUGCAGUCCAAAAUGGGUGGUAAAUUUCAUCUAAAGCUAAAUACUGGCGAGAGACCGAUAGCGAACAAGUACCGUGAGGGAAAGAUGAAAGAACUUUGAAAAGAGAGUUAAACAGUACGUGAAAUUGUCAAAAGGGAAGCGUUUGACACCAGUGUUGUUUUCUCGAAUAUCAAUUAAAAAUGGCAGGAUUUUGUGUUGUAUUGACUUUAUCAGCUUUCUGCACUUUUUUCCUAUCUUUUUUAAUGCACUUUUCGUUUAACAAGUCAACAUCAAUUUCUUUUGUUGUAAAAGAGUCAUUGGAAGGUGGCUUUCUUUUCGGAGAAAGUGUUUAUAGCCUUUGACUUCUGCAAUCGGAGAGAUUGAGGUCUGCAGCAUAGAUCCUUCGGGGUUAGAUGCAUUUGUGCUAAGUUAUAGCCUUUCAUAGACAACUUGUUGACUAUGAUCAGUCAUGUAGCUUACUCGCUUAUGUUAUUUUACCUACGCUUAGGAUGUUGACGAUCAGCUGAGCGCG